AGUGAACGCUGGCGGUAGGCCUAACACAUGCAAGUCGAACGGCAGCACAGUAAGAGCUUGCUCUUACGGUUGGCGAGUGGCGGACGGGUGAGGAAUACAUCGGCAUCUACUUUUUCGUGGGGGAUAACGUAGGGAAACUUACGCUAAUACCGCAUACGACCUACGGGUGAAAGCAGGGGAUCUUCGGACCUUGCGCGAUUGAAUGAGCCGAUGUCGGAUUAGCUAGUUGGCGGGGUAAAGGCCCACCAAGGCGACGAUCCGUAGCUGGUCUGAGAGGAUGAUCAGCCACACUGGAACUGAGACACGGUCCAGACUCCUACGGGAGGCAGCAGUGGGGAAUAUUGGACAAAGGGCGCAAGCCUGAUCCAGCCAGACCGCGUGGGUGAAGAAGGCCUUCGGGUUGUAAAGCCCUUUUGUUGGGAAAGAAAAGCAGCAGGUUAAUAACCCGCUGUUCUGACGGUACCCAAAGAAUAAGCACCGGCUAACUUCGUG
RNAcentral lists this ribosomal RNA (492 nucleotides) under uncultured bacterium. RNAcentral describes it as "partial 16S ribosomal RNA". It matches the Rfam family "Bacterial small subunit ribosomal RNA", at positions 29 to 507 of the family's 1533-position model. The record is from RNAcentral.